UACAGAGACCUCAAGCGUUAUCCGGAAUCAUUGGGCGUAAAGCGUUCCGAUAGGUGGUUUUGAAAGUCUUGGGUAAAAGCCAGAAGCUUAACUUCUGCGUUUGCUUAUGAUACUGCAAAACUAGAGGGGCAAAGAGGUGCUUGGAACGAAUGGUGUAGUAGUGAAAUGCGUUGAUAUCAUUCGGAACACCGAAAGCGAAGGCAGAGCACUGGGUGCCACCUGACACUGCUAGGACGAAAGCGUGGGGAGCGAAUGGG
This 257-nucleotide ribosomal RNA is filed under the name uncultured bacterium. Its description in RNAcentral is "partial 16S ribosomal RNA". It matches the Rfam family "Bacterial small subunit ribosomal RNA", at positions 524 to 776 of the family's 1533-position model. The record is from RNAcentral.